Molecule: ribosomal RNA, 400 nt
Filed under: uncultured bacterium
Lineage: Bacteria
Description: bacterial SSU rRNA
Rfam family: Bacterial small subunit ribosomal RNA
Source: RNAcentral
UGAGGAAUAUUGGUCAAUGGGCGAGAGCCUGAACCAGCCAGGUCGCGUGAAGGACGACGGCCCUAUGGGUUGUAAACUUCUUUUGUAAGGGAAUAAAAAAGUUUACGUGUAGACUAUUGCAUGUACCUUACGAAUAAGGAUCGGCUAACUCCGUGCCAGCAGCCGCGGUAAUACGGAGGAUCCGAGCGUUAUCCGGAUUUAUUGGGUUUAAAGGGUGCGUAGGCGGACAAGCCAGUCAGUGGUGAAAGUUUGUAGCUCAACUAUAAAAUUGCCAUUGAAACUACUUGUCUUGAGUGCAAAUGAGGUAAGCGGAAUGUGUAGUGUAGCGGUGAAAUGCUUAGAUAUUACACAGAACCUCUAUUGCGAAGGCAGCUUACUGGGAUGCAACUGACGCUGAGGC